Molecule: non-coding RNA, 269 nt
Filed under: Caminicella sporogenes
Lineage: Bacteria; Bacillati; Bacillota; Clostridia; Peptostreptococcales; Caminicellaceae
Description: T-box sequence
Rfam family: T-box leader
About the family: Uncharged tRNA acts as the effector for transcription antitermination of genes in the T-box leader family. T-boxes are found upstream of many aminoacyl-tRNA synthetase genes and some amino acid biosynthetic genes usually in Gram-positive bacteria. The anticodon of a specific tRNA base pairs to a specifier sequence within the T-box motif, and the NCCA acceptor tail of the tRNA base pairs to a conserved bulge in the T-box antiterminator hairpin.
Source: RNAcentral
UUAAAUUCUAUGAAUGGAAAUAGUAGGUAGUGCAUGAAGUUAUAGAGAGUCGGGGAUGGUGGAAUCCUGACACGGAUUGCUUACUGAAUGGUUCCAUGAGAAGCAGUGGGAAAUCCUUAUUUGGAGAGUAUCACUUGCCGUUUGUCUUACGUUACAAAGACAGGGUAUCGAAAUAGAGAUAUGUCUAUUUCUGUACCUGGAAGAGUGAGAUAGUAUUAAUACUGUCUAAAGUAGGUGGCAACGCGGAAUGUGAGCAUUUCGUCCUAUAU